This 465-nucleotide ribosomal RNA is filed under the name uncultured bacterium. RNAcentral's name for it is "partial 16S ribosomal RNA". It matches the Rfam family "Bacterial small subunit ribosomal RNA", at positions 338 to 795 of the family's 1533-position model. The record is from RNAcentral.
CCUACGGGUGGCAGCAGUGGGGAAUAUUGCGCAAUGGACGAAAGCCUGACCCAGCGACGCCGCGUGAGGGAUGAAGGUCUUCGGAUCUGAAACCUCUUUCAGCAAGGACGAACAGUCACUGUGCUAAUCAUCCGUGAAUUGACUGUACCUUCAAAGUAAGCACCGGCUAACUCCGUGCCAGCAGCCGCGGGAAUACGGAGGGUGCGAGCGUUAAUCGGAAUUACUGGGCGUAAAGGGCUCGUAGGCGUUAUGUCAAGUCAAGGGUGAAAUCCCCGAGCUCAACGUGGGAACUGCCUUUGAAACUGGCAGACUGGAGUGUGUGAGAGGAUAGUGGAAUUCAAGGUGUAGGAGUGAAAUGCGUAGAUAUCUGGAGGAACAUCAGUGGCGAAGGCGACUAUCUGGCACAUAACUGACGCUGAGGAGCGAAAGCGUGGGUAGCAAACAGGAUUAGAUACCCCGGUAGUC